RNAcentral lists this ribosomal RNA (400 nucleotides) under uncultured bacterium. RNAcentral describes it as "bacterial SSU rRNA". It matches the Rfam family "Bacterial small subunit ribosomal RNA", at positions 355 to 751 of the family's 1533-position model. The record is from RNAcentral.
UAAGGAAUAUUGGACAAUGGUCGGAAGACUGAUCCAGCCAUGCCGCGUGAAGGAUGAAGGCGCUCAGCGUUGUAAACUUCUUUUGUACGGGAACAAAAUGCGACCUGCGGGUUGUACUGAGGGUACCGUAAGAAUAAGCACCGGCUAACUCCGUGCCAGCAGCCGCGGUAAUACGGAGGGUGCAAGCGUUAUCCGGAAUCACUGGGUUUAAAGGGUGCGUAGGCGGUUUGAUAAGUCAGUUGUGAAAUUCCCUCGCUCAACGAGUGGGACUGCGAUUGAUACUGUUGAACUUGAAUCAGGUUGAGGUAGGCGGAAUGUGGCAUGUAGCGGUGAAAUGCAUAGAUAUGCCAUAGAACACCAAUUGCGAAGGCAGCUUGCUGGGCUUUGAUUGACGCUGAGG